Long non-coding RNA from Cyprinus carpio carpio, 2263 nucleotides. The record is from Ensembl. NCBI's taxonomy places the organism in Eukaryota, Metazoa, Chordata, Actinopteri, Cypriniformes, Cyprinidae.
UUCUAUCUUUUUAUUUUACUUUUACUUUUAUUUUCUUUUUAUUUAUUAUAUGAUUUAAAAAACAAACCUUGCUACAUGUACUGCAUUAAAGGGUUAGUUCACCCAAAAAUUUAAAUUGACUUGUGUUUUACUCAUCCUCAAAGCAUCUUAGAUGUAUUUAAUUUUCUUCUUUCAGACGAUUCCAGUCAGAUUUAUAUAAAAAAUCGUCCUGGCUAUUCCAAGCUCUAUCACUGCAGUCAGCGGGUGUUGCAUUCAAACAGUCCACUAGUUGUCAAAUAAAGCGCGCGCAUCCAUAAUAAAUUGUGCUUCACACGGAUCCGAGUGGUUUUGUAAGAAAAAUAUCCAUAUUUCAAAUGUAAUAUACACUUUUCCAUCACUUCCGCCAACUGUCAUACGUGGAAGCCGUGCCGGCAGACAACGUAGCACAUCGGCCUUGUGUGAUUAGUGCCUAACGGAGAGAGAGAACAAAACAAAACGCCAAAAAUUCACCCCCUCACAGUUGUCAUGAAGGGUAGGUAAAAUUAGCAAUAUAGACCAAAAUAAUUUUUUGAACCAGGCUGUAAACGUUUUUUUCUGCUGUAUAGUUGGCCAUUUUAACAUGGGGAGUCUAUGGGACUGACUCCCUUUUGCAGCCAGCCUCAAGCGGCCAGUCGAUGAAUUGCAGUUUUAGUCACUUCCUUAUUGUCUUCACGAGAGAGAGGGAGGUUGCCGCUCAGUCGUGAACAAGAAACGUCAGACUAUACGUUACCCGACCAUUAAAAUCAUGCCGUCAUAAACAACGUGCGUGCUGUCAUCAAUAGUGCUAGACAAGACAGAAUCUGCUAUGAUCAUAAACAAACAAUGGCUAGCAAAAAAAUGGCUUGUUUUGCCCUGUCUUGUCAUCAGAAAAGCCCCAAAAAGAAAGAAAACCUGACAAUGGACACAUAUCUGGAUGGCCUGAAGAGGAUGGUAUGGACUGUCAAAGAGAACUGAGCUUGUACAAAGGCACUUCUGUGCUCCUAUUGGCCAGUGUCAUAGCUGUGAUGGAACUGAGGAGCGUCUCGCUGCAGCCUGCGGUGGACAUCCAACCCGGCCCACAUCCAAGUGUGACGUCACAGACCACGCCCAUGUCAAAAUACGUCACAUUCUCAAUCAUUUUGAAACAGGAAGAAGCAUCGAUAAGAAGAUAAUUUGUAUUGUUUGCCAACCGCUAAAAAAAGAAGCUGUUGUUUGCCGUGUCGGAUUCUACACAUUUUCAGUCCAAGCCUGAUGCAGGGCAGUUCUCCCGGGUUAAGGGGUCCCUGCUGCAGUUUCACCAGUAAAGAAAAUUACUUGUUACAGUUCACUUGAAGGACCACAUAAGCCAUGCAGUGGUGCAUGGAGGUAUGGAGCGCCAAGAGGACAUAAAGUGGAAGUUUGUAAGGGACAUUGGUCCAGCGUGGUACAGAGUCAUCGUAGGUUAUUCUGUGGGGAGGUGACAGGGCCUGCCGUUCUCCAGAUGGACAGUAAAAAUCAACAGAAUGCCAUCAAAGACUACCUGGAGGGAGAAUCGGAGGAUAUAUUGAAGCAAGGAAUCUCUCUGUGUAGUCUAUGUAUGUAUGUGUGUGUACUGCAUGUCAAGAACUGUUUAUCUGAUCAUUCAGCUGCUCAGACUUUAUAAUAUUUGGAGCAUACCUUUUGUUAAACAACCAGUCAAAAGUUUUUGAACAGUGAGAUUUUUUUAUGUUUUUAAAGAAAUAUCUUCUGCUCAUCAAGCCUGCAUUUAUUUAAUCCGAAGUACAGCAAAAACAGUCCAAUUUUAAAAUAUUUGUAUAAUAUUUUGCUUUUGUAAUAUAUUUUGCUAUUUAAAAUAACAAUUUUCUAUAUUUCUAUUAAAAUGAAAUUUAUUCCUGUGAUUUCAAAGGUGACUUACUCCAGUCACAUGAUCCUUCAUUCUAAUAUGCUGAUUUGAUGCUCAAAAAACAUUUUAUUAUUAUUAUGUUAAUACACUGAAGACUGGAGUAAUGAUGAAGAAAAUUCAGCUUUGAUCACAGGAAUAAACUGCAUUUUUAAAAUACAUUCAAAUAGAAAGCAGUUCUUUUAAAUUGUAAAAAUAUUUCACAUUACUGUUUUUGCUGUGUUUUUGGAUCAAAUAAAUCCUGGCUUGGUGAGCAGAAGAGACUUUAAAAAAUAAUAAAAAUCUUACUGUUCAAAAACUGGUGGUGUAUAUUAUUAUUAUUAUUAUUAUUAUUAUUUGUAAAAUUGUACAUGUAAUUAUUUUUGUAAAAUAAUAAAUAUAAAAAUA